AGAGUUUGAUCCUGGCUCAGAUUGAACGCUGGCGGCAGGCCUAACACAUGCAAGUCGAGCGGAUGACGGGAGCUUGCUCCUUGAUUCAGCGGCGGACGGGUGAGUAAUGCCUAGGAAUCUGCCUGGUAGUGGGGGACAACGUUUCGAAAGGAACGCUAAUACCGCAUACGUCCUACGGGAGAAAGCAGGGGACCUUCGGGCCUUGCGCUAUCAGAUGAGCCUAGGUCGGAUUAGCUAGUUGGUGGGGUAAUGGCUCACCAAGGCGACGAUCCGUAACUGGUCUGAGAGGAUGAUCAGUCACACUGGAACUGAGACACGGUCCAGACUCCUACGGGAGGCAGCAGUGGGGAAUAUUGGACAAUGGGCGAAAGCCUGAUCCAGCCAUGCCGCGUGUGUGAAGAAGGUCUUCGGAUUGUAAAGCACUUUAAGUUGGGAGGAAGGGCAGUAAGCUAAUACCUUGCUGUUUUGACGUUACCGACAGAAUAAGCACCGGCUAACUCUGUGCCAGCAGCCGCGGUAAUACAGAGGGUGCAAGCGUUAAUCGGAAUUACUGGGCGUAAAGCGCGCGUAGGUGGUUUGUUAAGUUGGAUGUGAAAGCCCCGGGCUCAACCUGGGAACUGCAUCCAAAACUGGCAAGCUAGAGUACGGUAGAGGGUGGUGGAAUUUCCUGUGUAGCGGUGAAAUGCGUAGAUAUAGGAAGGAACACCAGUGGCGAAGGCGACCACCUGGACUGAUACUGACACUGAGGUGCGAAAGCGUGGGGAGCAACAGGAUUAGAUACCCUGGUAGUCCACGCCGUAAACGAUGUCAACUAGCCGUUGGAAUCCUUGAGAUUUUAGUGGCGCAGCUAACGCAUUAAGUUGACCGCCUGGGGGAGUACGGCCGCAAGGUUAAAACUCAAAUGAAUUGACGGGGGCCCGCACAAGCGGUGGAGCAUGUGGUUUAAUUCGAAGCAACGCGAAGAACCUUACCAGGGCCUUGACAUGCAGAGAACUUUCCAGAGAUGGGAUUGGUGCCUUCGGGAACUCUGACNCAGGUGCUGCAUGGCUGUCGUCAGCUCGUGUCGGUGAGAUGUUGGGUUAGUCCGUACGAGCGCACCC
This 1100-nucleotide ribosomal RNA is filed under the name uncultured Pseudomonas sp. Its description in RNAcentral is "bacterial SSU rRNA". It matches the Rfam family "Bacterial small subunit ribosomal RNA", at positions 8 to 1103 of the family's 1533-position model. Lineage: Bacteria; Pseudomonadati; Pseudomonadota; Gammaproteobacteria; Pseudomonadales; Pseudomonadaceae. The record is from RNAcentral.